AAAAAGUGGGCAAGAAGGAGCGUUGAACAUAUCGUGGCCAGUGGUUUCCGUGCGCUAGAGAGCGUGUGAAUUGCGCCUAAUUACCGGAUCCUCUUGGAAGCCGGACGCGCAUCCGUGUCCGUCCUUCAGGCCCAGAGACACGGUCGCCGCAGCCCCCGGGAGUAGUUUUAACUUUGGCCUCACUCUCCCGUCCUUACGUCAGGGCCCUGAGUCACAGCUCAGUCUGCAGAGUCCCCCAGGUCCGAGACCCACAGCCUUUCUUCUGGUGCGCCCGAGGCUGGGGUGCUCAGGUGAGUGGCUGUGUCUUGGAGAGAGGUGGAGUGCUGUCCCGGAUGGAGGUCACUGCAGUCAGUCGUCCACGUGCCACUCUGGGGCUGGUGCCGGUUUGGACUCCGGUCAGGAAGAGGGGAGCAGACUGGAAGGUGUGGUCAGCAUGCCCAGACUGAGGCAGCAGGGGCUCCCCCUCUACUUAGAGCAGGGCGUGGCUUCACAUCUGGACACGCCACCUGCACCUGUGACCUCAUUCUGCAAAGCCUUGCGCACCCCCUCAUACCUGCGUGCCAUUACCUACCGCCGGGGAGCACUCACCUCGGAGGCUGCCCUCCCACCCAGGAGGACACUGGAGCAAGUCCCAUCGAAUUCACAGCGCUUUCAUAAGCGUGCCCACAUCGUGGGACAUCCACUGGGUGUGUGACCUCUCACCCAGACGCCCGCAGACUCCCACCUGGGGACUGCACACCCAGACAGGAGCAUAUGCUCACACUCUGCCCUGGCUCCUCCGCUGACCUAACCCUAUUCCCCGGGCUCUGCAGGUGGCUGUCUCCGGGUAGAGAAGUCAGACCUCCCCAGACAAACCCGGGAGCUGAGGGCACAAGGACAAGCUCACUCGCACGCACAAGUCCUCUUAGCUCGGGAUCAUUUGCUGAGGCCCUUGCUGUGCCAGGGGCCGGGGCCCCGCGAGUGCCCCCAGCCAUGCAUGUCCACCUCCAGCCACGCUCUUUGCUGGCCCCAACCCCACGCCCCUCUCCCCCAGGCAGUGGUGGGAUCAAAGGGAAGACCUUGGCGGAGGCGCGAGGCGAGACCGCGGGGGAGAGGGGCGGCGAGGAGCCGGCGGCGCGCUGGCCCCGAGCAGGAGCGCUCACUGCUGGGCGCCCGCGAGGCUUUGACUUUUGCGCUGUUGGUCCGCGGCCUCGCAGCUAGCAGACGCCAUCUGUUUGCCGGCGGCAGCGCGUGGCCCGUUUAAUUACCCUCCCGGCAGCCUAAUAGAGAUGAUAUUAAACUAAAUCUUUCUGACAU
Eptesicus fuscus (big brown bat) is the source of this 1296-nucleotide long non-coding RNA. RefSeq lists it as uncharacterized. The record is from RefSeq and is a predicted model, not a curated record. The transcript is spliced from 3 exons. Lineage: Eukaryota; Metazoa; Chordata; Mammalia; Chiroptera; Vespertilionidae.